UAGGGAAUCUUCGGCAAUGGGGGCAACCCUGACCGAGCAACGCCGCGUGAGUGAAGAAGGUUUUCGGAUCGUAAAGCUCUGUUGUAAGUCAAGAACGGGUGUGAGAGUGGAAAGUUCACACUGUGACGGUAGCUUACCAGAAAGGGACGGCUAACUACGUGCCAGCAGCCGCGGUAAUACGUAGGUCCCGAGCGUUGUCCGGAUUUAUUGGGCGUAAAGCGAGCGCAGGCGGUUUGAUAAGUCUGAAGUUAAAGGCUGUGGCUCAACCAUAGUUCGCUUUGGAAACUGUCAAACUUGAGUGCAGAAGGGGAGAGUGGAAUUCCAUGUGUAGCGGUGAAAUGCGUAGAUAUAUGGAGGAACACCGGUGGCGAAAGCGGCUCUCUGGUCUGUAACUGACGCUGAGGCUCGAAAGCGUGGGGAGCGAACAGGAUUAGAUACCCUGGUAGUCCACGCCGUAAACGAUGAGUGCUAGGUGUUGGAUCCUUUCCGGGAUUCAGUGCCGCAGCUAACGCAUUAAGCACUCCGCCUGGGGAGUACGACCGCAAGGUUAAAA
Molecule: ribosomal RNA, 553 nt
Filed under: uncultured bacterium
Lineage: Bacteria
Description: partial 16S ribosomal RNA
Rfam family: Bacterial small subunit ribosomal RNA
Source: RNAcentral